RNAcentral lists this ribosomal RNA (253 nucleotides) under uncultured bacterium. Its description in RNAcentral is "partial 16S ribosomal RNA". It matches the Rfam family "Bacterial small subunit ribosomal RNA", at positions 524 to 776 of the family's 1533-position model. The record is from RNAcentral.
UACGGAGGGUGCGAGCGUUGUCCGGAUUUAUUGGGUUUAAAGGGUGCGUAGGCGGUUCUUUAAGUCCGGGGUGAAAGCCCGUUGCUCAACAACGGAACUGCCCUGGAUACUGGAGAACUUGAGUACAGACGAGGUUGGCGGAAUGGACCGAGUAGCGGUGAAAUGCAUAGAUACGGUCCAGAACCCCGAUUGCGAAGGCAGCUGACUAGGCUGUUACUGACGCUGAGGCACGACAGCGUGGGGAGCGAACAGG